RNAcentral lists this ribosomal RNA (275 nucleotides) under uncultured bacterium. RNAcentral's name for it is "partial 16S ribosomal RNA". The record is from RNAcentral.
CUGCUGCCUCCCGUAGGAGUCUGGUCCGUGUCUCAGUACCAGUGUGGGGGACCUUCCUCUCAGAACCCCUACGCAUCGUCGCCUCGGUGGGCCGUUACCCCGCCUACUGCCUAAUGCGCCGCAUGCCCAUCCCUGUCCGGCCGAAGCCUUUCCUGCCUCCGGGAUGCCCCGGUGGCAUGUACGCGGGUUUAGCCCGCCUUUCGGCGGGUUGUCCCCCUGACAGGGGCAGGUUGCAUACGUGUUACUCACCCGUGCGCCGGUCGCCGGCGGAGAAA